UUAGCAAGUAGCAAAACUGUUUUAUUAGCAGAUCAGGACUGAUAUCAGGCAACAAACAGAGAGGAGUUAGGAAAAAAUACUAGCAGAACAGAACAGAAAGAACAACUGGAAACCUGUUGAUAUUUUUCCCCUUCUCUAUAAGCCAUGUCCCUCACCUGUUAAUCCAUGGGUAUGUUUGAAUCCAGGAGCAUUACAAACAAAUAUUUUCGGGUUGAAGUUCAGGGGAACAGCUGGAGAUAUUUGUUCACGCCAGCUCUGGUGCUGGAACACAGCUGUGGCUUGUCCAGCAUUUAAACUCCUUCCAUUAAACUCUUGUAGCCUUCAAGCAACACAUAUUUUCUGCCAGAGAUUACCUAACGGUUGAUUGAAAAUGGCACUGCCUUGCUAGAAUGCCAGCAUACAAACAAGAAAUAAAACAAUUUGUGCAUAAUACUUUAAUACUCUGAAGAAAAUGUGGAGUUCAAGAUAAGUUUUGCCCUUGAUCUUUCAUGCAAGUUAUAAAUAGUGAUUAUUAUUAACAAUAAACAUCUUUUCAUUUGAAAAAA
This is a long non-coding RNA of Crotalus tigris (Tiger rattlesnake), 545 nucleotides long. RefSeq lists it as uncharacterized. The transcript is spliced from 4 exons. Lineage: Eukaryota; Metazoa; Chordata; Lepidosauria; Squamata; Viperidae. The record is from RefSeq and is a predicted model, not a curated record.